CCGAGUUUACAACUCCCAAACCCAAUGUGAACGCUACCGGACGUUGCUUCGGCGGUACCGCCCCGGCGCCCUCGCGGCCCGGACCCAGGCGCCCGCCGGAGGCCCGCAAACCCUGACAGUAUACCGCUCCGCGGUGGUCCCGUCUGAGUGAUACAAAAAAACGCAUCA
This 168-nucleotide unclassified non-coding RNA is filed under the name uncultured Hypocreaceae. RNAcentral describes it as "sequence contains ITS1". Lineage: Eukaryota; Fungi; Ascomycota; Sordariomycetes; Hypocreales. The record is from RNAcentral.